Molecule: ribosomal RNA, 252 nt
Filed under: Mitsuokella jalaludinii
Lineage: Bacteria; Bacillati; Bacillota; Negativicutes; Selenomonadales; Selenomonadaceae
Description: partial 16S ribosomal RNA
Rfam family: Bacterial small subunit ribosomal RNA
Source: RNAcentral
UACGUAGGUGGCGAGCGUUGUCCGGAAUUAUUGGGCGUAAAGGGAGCGCAGGCGGGAAGGUAAGUCUAUCUUAAAAGUGCGGGGCUCAACUCCGUGAGGGGAUGGAAACUAUCUUUCUUGAGUGCAGGAGAGGAAAGCGGAAUUCCUAGUGUAGCGGUGAAAUGCGUAGAUAUUAGGAGGAACACCAGUGGCGAAGGCGGCUUUCUGGACUGUAACUGACGCUGAGGCUCGAAAGCGUGGGGAGCGAACAGG